This is a non-coding RNA of Ciona intestinalis (vase tunicate), 1292 nucleotides long. The record is from RefSeq and is a predicted model, not a curated record. Lineage: Eukaryota; Metazoa; Chordata; Ascidiacea; Phlebobranchia; Cionidae.
UGCUGCUAAUGCAACCGCAAAGUUUGUUUUGCUAUUUGCCAAAUGGUUCGAUAUUAUGAAUUGUAGUCGAUCCAACCCAAUUAAAACGAUAAUCGCUUAAAUUGGUUGGAAAAUGAUUUUCUCAACUAUCUUUUAGAAUGGAAGGUGCUACUAUGAAUGAAUGUAACUUACUUUAUCCUCGAGUGGCUAAAAAGCGACAGUUGUUAUACCAAGGACACAUUUGCCCACAAGGGUAGCAACUAGCAACAACGAGCCUUGAACCCAUUACCUCUGGGUUAAAGGCAGGUGCGCUAAACAACUGUGCUAUGGCGCCAAUUCUUACGACCUAAUUUUGCAGAGGCUGGUCAAUGGAAACAACCCAAAUGAGCGUAAAAAGAGGUUAAUGGCACAGCCUACUUUUGACGGUCUCAUUUUUUCAACGAACAAUUAUAUAGCUCUGGUAAAACAGCUAUUAAAGGCAGGCAGUAGUUGUGUUUGCCUGAAUGUGUUCAGCCAAGAUGUUCUCGAGGCAGUAUUUGAAAACUUGAGAACUAUUGGCCAGAGGUCACAGAACCCAGAUGUGUUUCAGUCUGGUUAUGGGCUGGAACACAUCACAAACCGCAAAAUUAUAAAAAAAAAUAAAAGGAGGGAAUACUACUUUCGGAAAAAAAAUUACCACAUUAAUGUGCUCCAUAUUAUAAACUGCUUCUUGCGAAUAAUAUUCCAUUAUGUAUGGAUUAAGUCUGCAAGUAUUUCACAUGAUGUUUAGAUAAAACUGAUACGAGGUAUUAAAAAACCUCUAUUCGUACAAAGCAAAAUCAAUAACGCAAACGAAUUUAAGACAUUGAAGCGAUAGUUCUGGAUAUCAAACCCACAGAAAUGUGCAAUAAAACCAUAUUAUUACAGCUUCAAAUCUGUAUUAACUUGAAACAUCCUGUGCAUAUACAUUAAUAUCGUGGUAAAACAACGUUUCUUCGCACACAACUACACAGAAUUUUAUUUAAACCUGUACGAACACUGCUACAUAAUUGUUUACCGUCGUAAAUUACGUUAGGGGCAAAAGAGAAUAGCGAACCUGUCAUGCGUGACGGAGAUAAUGGAGUGGGGAGCUCUGGACUACUAUAAGAGAGUACUAUGGUGAAACUUUGACCAAUUUUAUUUUAUCAAUAAGAGAUUCCAAUUUGGAUAAUAUCAAAGAACUCUUUCAUAAAGAAGUAUAUGUAGGCUAUAUAUAAACAUAUUUGAUUUUUAUAUUGAUUUCAUGUCGGAGCAUGAAGUGGUUUCUAAAUUUCGGUAAGUUUUAUACAAUAAUU